GCAGCCGCCUGACGGGCUGGCCCGCUCCCUGCUGCCUGGGGCGCUCCCGUGCAGCCUGUGGGCAGAGCUCGAGUCCUGCCCCGGCAGCUCCGCCUGUCACCGAGCCCAGGGAGCGACACCCCGGGCCGUGGGGCCCCGGCUCUGCCAUUGCCGGCCAGGUGCAGCCUCCUGCCGCUCCGCCGCCUGGCAGCUCAGCGCCCCGCCGCCCCUGCGGACAGGCCAGCGCGGCCUCUGGGCUGGGAGAGGUCAGCGCCGACACCGGCAGCCUCCGGUGGGUGGUUGGCAGCAGGCGCCUCUGCCGGCAGUAGCUGUAGGCAAGGGAGGCCGGAGUUAGUUACAAUUUCCCGGCCCCCCGUUUGCCGCUAGGAAGGAAGCUAAGGGGCAGGAGGGGGGAGUUGGCACUUCAUCUUUAAGGAACACAUUGAAAGAUCAGCCCUGUAAAUCACAGAUGUGAGGGGGUCAUUAUAUUUAUAAAGUCCUUUGAAAUCCUUGGAUAAAAGGCUUGGCUACUCCUAGAAAUCUUCCCUCAAGACUGCGCAGCCCACAACCUUGAUCCAGUCUUCCCAAAGAUCCACUCCCUGCACCUCUCUAUAUCCAGGUUGGAUAACAACUAAGCAGAACCCACUGAACCAUUUCCCAGAAGACUCAACAUCUCCUAAAAGGGUGCGUUGUUUCAGGCAAACAUUGACAGUCUGUUACAAUAUGUCUGUGUUCUUUUCUUCGGAUAACUACGAUUGUAGAGGCACUAAACCUAAUAGGAAUUCAUAAGGAUUUUAAUAUGCAUGAUAUGCUGUCAGGAUGAAGUGUUCAUUUGGAUAUGGAAAUUAUUGAAAAUGUAAUCCACAAGGAGCCAGGAUAGAGGCGACAUAUGGGAGAUUUUCUGGUUGUCGCCCCCCCCCCCCAGCCCAGGCAGGUUGGGUGGCCCGCUGAGAUGAGUCAGGGGGUGGAGAUGGCACUCUCUCCUCAUCCCCGCUGCGUGGCACUGGUCCAACCGAACCCUGCUGCCCUGCCGUGCGGAGCUGGCCCGACUGAGCUCCGCUGGCCCGACUGAGCUCCGCUGGCCCGCUGCAUGGCAUCGCCACUUGCCCCCUCCGAACGUUCCUCUUCCCCUUUAGUGGGGUGCACCCCACAGUUUGAAAACCUCUGUGAGGUGGUCACGUGCCCCCCCAGAACUUUAAAAUUGUGCCCCUUCCCAUUAUCAAGAGUUACAUGUCGCCUCUGAAUCAAGAUCAUCACUUUUUAUUUUUAUCCUUCAUCAUUCAUUUCAUUUCUGGAUGUUAAGGAGAAGGGAAAUGAAAGACAAUGGGCCAGAUCUUGUAAGUAGAACGAUGAGUCUGAUUGAAUUCAGCGGAAGUUUUGCAUAUAAAGAAUAACCCUCAAACACUCAUGUAAGUAGCUUUAACCACAUGAGUAGUCCUUAAUGAGUCUUACUCUCACAUGCCUAAGUCUUAACAUUAUCAGCCCCAGCUUAUUCAUAAUCAAACCCCAAACUUAUUUAGAGGAGCCUGGAACAAUAAUUUGCAUUGUCAUUAUUUAGGAGGACACAAUUUUAAUAAAAGGACACAGUAUUUAUCUUCCACCAUAAUGGCCUGAAUCUAUGUACAAGGGGGUGGGAAUGGCUCCAAGUACUAUUAGUUAUGAAAAACUAAUACAAUAAAACAGUAAAAAUUUUCCUUCUUUAAAAAAAAAUAAAAAAUGCCAGUGGGCAAACUAAGUACUAUAUUACGUAACUACACUAAAUAAUCAUUAU
Molecule: long non-coding RNA, 1750 nt
Organism: Chrysemys picta bellii (western painted turtle)
Lineage: Eukaryota; Metazoa; Chordata; Testudines; Emydidae
Source: RefSeq, a predicted model, not a curated record